RNAcentral lists this ribosomal RNA (253 nucleotides) under uncultured bacterium. RNAcentral describes it as "partial 16S ribosomal RNA". It matches the Rfam family "Bacterial small subunit ribosomal RNA", at positions 524 to 776 of the family's 1533-position model. The record is from RNAcentral.
UACGUAGGGGGCAAGCGUUGUCCGGAAUCAUUGGGCGUAAAGCGCGUGUAGGCGGCCAGAAAAGUCCGCUGUGAAAACUCGAGGCUCAACUUCGAGCUGUCGGUGGAAACUUUCUGGCUAGAGUCCGGAAGAGGAGAAUGGAAUUCCUGGUGUAGCGGUGAAAUGCGCAGAUAUCAGGAAGAACACCCGUGGCGAAGGCGGUUCUCUGGGACGGUACUGACGCUGAGGUGCGAAAGCGUGGGGAGCAAACAGG